AGUGAAUAUCCUUGUUCUUAGAAAAAAAUAUAUCAAAAUAUUUAGGAGUGAAAGGGUAUGAUAGCAGGAACUUACUUUCAAAUCAUGAAAAAAGUACAUAAUCUAUACAUAGAAAGUGGGAGCAUUAAAGCAUAUGUGGCAAAAUGCUGACAGCUGGCGAAUCUAGGUAAAGGGUAUUCAGGAGGUCUUUGCCCUAUUUCUGCCACUUUUCUCUUAUUUUAAAAUUAUUUCACAAUUAAACUUCUUGACUUAGACAUUCAAGAGGAAGGAUAAAGUAAAAAAUUUGAAAAGAUCAUAAAUAAUAGGGGCUUAAAGAAAUGGAGGCUUCAAAUGUUUGCCUUAUAUGCUAGAAUUUGAAUCCACAAGUAAAACUCUGGGGAGGGGGGGAAUGAGGUUUUUUAUUUUUUUAUUUUUAUUUUUUGGUCUUUUCUAGGGCCACUCCCACAGCAUAUGGAGGGUGUGACCCUAAAAAGGACAAAAGACAAACAUUAAUUAAUUAAUUUUAAAAAAGAUAAGUGGGAACUCAAAGAAAGAAGAAAAUCAAGGAGCAAGAAUUAAUGGAAAAAAAUCAAAAUAACAACUGUUGCUAAGCCAUUCUUUUGAUUUUAUUAUUACUAAAUAGAUGUCUACUUGACAUAGACAUCUAAGAAGUAAAGCAGCAGUGUGGCAGAAUGGAAAGAGCAUGGAAUUUUUUUUUCGUUUUAAACACAGACUCAGUCUCAGCUCUGAUAUUUAUUACUUGUGUGACCUCGAACAAAGGAUUUAACCUCUUUGAGCCUCAGUGUCCUCAUUUGAAAAAUAGGUAUGUAGAAUUUUUCAGGGUUAGGGUAGAAGUAAAUUGGAUACAUUGUAUCAAAGUGACAAGCACCAGAUCCACCAAGUCAAUGUAACAAAUGCCUUCUACUGAACACUCCCAGCCAAGGAGAAAAUUCAGUAUUAAAUAUUUUCUAGAUUGCCUUAUGACUUAUUAAAAUAUAACAAAAAAAUUGAAGUUUUUCCAUCCAAAAUACUUGCUAAAUUUUAGAAAGCCGCUAUAUCUACCUAAGGCAGAUCCUGUUACCUAUCAUGUUCCUCUUCUUCCUUGGAAGAAGUUGAAGGUGGCAACCUGCCCAACUAAAAAUACUAUAUUCUUGGCCUUCCUCUCAGAUGGGGUUGACUAUGAUAUAAUUCUGACCAAUGAAAUAUAAGCAGACAUUGUUGGGCUGGGCUACCAGAUUCAGCUAGUAAAUAUCAUUUUCCCACAUCUCCCCAUUUCUUCAUUUCCAGAGUAUGGUUGUCAUGGCUAGAGCUCCUUGUCUCCAUGCAUCUGCUUCAUUACUAUAUUCAGUGUUCAACACAGGAUUAUAUGUCAUAAGGGCUGGGCUACUGAGCAGCACUGUGUUACUCAUGCAAACAAAGAGAAAUUAACAGGAUGUUACUAUUUCAACACACUGUUAAGAGGUGAUCAACAGAAAAUACUUCUUAGCCACAUUAAUUGAGUUUGAUAGGACAAAACAUAGUUUUCUUUAGUAUUCCCUUUAUAUCUUCUCACCAGAGCUCAGCAUAAACUGCAACCUCUAAAUGUUACCUAAACAACAAAUGCUUGAAAUAGAGCCAAAGUGCAUGAAUAACUUGAGCAAAUUUACAUUAAACAUCACUGGGCCUCAAUUUCUUCAUCUGUAAAAUAGCCGUCGUACUUCUACUUAAUUAAAUGAGUCAAGACAAGGAAAAUAAUUAGGACACUGCCUAACAAGAGGUAAAGUACUCAAUCAAUGUUAAGGGAAAAAGUGGUUUAUUGACUUCUGACAAAUUAAAGUUUCUUCCUCCAAAAUAAAUACAUAAUUCACAUGGAGUGGAAGUAAUAAAUAGCACAACAUAAAUACAAUUUUAAAGCAGAAAAAAAGUGAUUAAUUGUGGUUAGGAAAAACUCUUCUAAAAUCAACAGGAGUAGGCAAUAACUUCAUUCAUUACUUUACCUUUCUAUCCCGCAUUUACUGAAUACCCACUGAGGGUGAAAACACUAAUGCAGGCACUGGAGACCUCCUAGCAGAUGAAGGUUAAGCAUAAACCUUCAAGGGUAAUUUAGCUUAAAUAAAAUUACAUUAUGAUAAAUGUAAUAAAAAUAAAUGGGACUACGAUAGAGAUCUGCAUUCAAUUAAAAAUGAAAAAGUAUGGGAGUU
This 2159-nucleotide long non-coding RNA is filed under the name Sus scrofa (pig). Its description in RNAcentral is "lncRNA (ENSSSCG00055020779.1)". The record is from RNAcentral. Lineage: Eukaryota; Metazoa; Chordata; Mammalia; Artiodactyla; Suidae.